This 25-nucleotide ribosomal RNA is filed under the name Phytophthora capsici. RNAcentral's name for it is "partial 18S ribosomal RNA". Lineage: Eukaryota; Oomycota; Peronosporomycetes; Peronosporales; Peronosporaceae. The record is from RNAcentral.
AGGUGAACUGCGGGAAGGAUCAUUA